ACAUGAUGUCGGGUAGGACUACCCGCUGAACUUAAGCAUAUCAAUAA
RNAcentral lists this ribosomal RNA (47 nucleotides) under Tolypocladium sp. JDF-2013i. RNAcentral's name for it is "partial 28S ribosomal RNA". Lineage: Eukaryota; Fungi; Ascomycota; Sordariomycetes; Hypocreales; Ophiocordycipitaceae. The record is from RNAcentral.